This 171-nucleotide ribosomal RNA is filed under the name uncultured bacterium. Its description in RNAcentral is "partial 16S ribosomal RNA". It matches the Rfam family "Bacterial small subunit ribosomal RNA", at positions 796 to 1041 of the family's 1533-position model. The record is from RNAcentral.
CUUGCUGUAAACGAUGUAUACUUGGUGUAACUGGACUCAACCCUAGUUGUGCCGGAGCUAACGCGUUAAGUAUACCGCCUGGGGANGCAACGCGAAGAACCUUACCCAGGCUUGACAUGCAGUAGACCGGUCCAGAAAUGGGCCUUUCCUUCGGGACUGCUGCACAGGUGC